UAAUACCGAAUAUGACCUUGCACCGCAUGGUGUUUGGUGGAAAGUUUUUCGGCUUGGGAUGGGCUCGCGGCCUAUCAGCUUGUUGGUGGGGUGAUGGCCUACCAAGGCGACGACGGGUAGCCGGCCUGAGAGGGCGACCGGCCACACUGGGACUGAGACACGGCCCAGACUCCUGACGGUGAGGCCGCAGUGGGGAAUAUUGCACAAUGGGCGGAAGCCUGAUGCAGCGACGCCGCGUGAGGGAUGACGGCCUUCGGGUUGUAAACCUCUUUCAGCAGGUACUAAGCGUAAGUGACGGUACCUGCAGAAUAAUCGCCGGUCCAACUACGUGCCAGCACCCGCGGUAACACUUGGGGCGCGCCCGUUCUCCGGAUUUAUUGGGCGUAAUUAGCUCGUAGGCGCCUUGUCGCGUCGACUGUGAAAACCCCCGCCUCAACUGCGGGCCUGCAGUCGAUCCGGGCAUGCUACAGUUCGGUAGGGGAGAGUGCAAUUCCUGUUGUAGCGCUGAUACGCUCACAUAUCUGGAGCACCACCGCUGCCGAAGGCGCCUCUAUGCGCCGAUACUGACGCUGAGUACCUAAAGCGUGCUGAGCAAUCAGCAUUACAUACCGUGAUACCCCACGCUCUAACGUAGGGCGCUCGCUGUGAAGCGCCUGCUCGGCUCCCUGUGCCUCAGCUGUUUCAUUAAGCGCCCCGCCCAGGGAGUACGACCGCAUGUCUACAACUCAAAGCAGUUGACGGUGCCCC
Molecule: ribosomal RNA, 747 nt
Filed under: bacterium
Lineage: Bacteria
Description: bacterial SSU rRNA
Rfam family: Bacterial small subunit ribosomal RNA
Source: RNAcentral